AGAGUUUGAUCAUGGCUCAGAUUGAACGCUGGCGGCAUGCCUUACACAUGCAAGUCGAACGGCAGCACGGGAGCAAUCCUGGUGGCGAGUGGCGAACGGGUGAGUAAUACAUCGGAACAUGUCCAGUAGUGGGGGAUAGCCCGGCGAAAGCCGGAUUAAUACCGCAUACGAUCCAUGGAUGAAAGCGGGGGACCGCAAGGCCUCGCGCUAUUGGGGUGGCCGAUGGCGGAUUAGCUUGUUGGUGGGGUAAAGGCCUACCAAGGCGACGAUCCGUAGCUGGUCUGAGAGGACGACCAGCCACACUGGGACUGAGACACGGCCCAGACUCCUACGGGAGGCAGCAGUGGGGAAUUUUGGACAAUGGGGGCAACCCUGAUCCAGCAAUGCCGCGUGUGUGAAGAAGGCCUUCGGGUUGUAAAGCACUUUUGUCCGGAAAGAAAACCUCUGGGUGAAUACCCCGGGGGGAUGACGGUACCGGAAGAAUAAGCACCGGCUAACUACGUGCCAGCAGCCGCGGUAAUACGUAGGGUGCGAGCGUUAAUCGGAAUUACUGGGCGUAAAGCGUGCGCAGGCGGUGCUGUAAGACCGAUGUGAAAUCCCCGGGCUUAACCUGGGAACUGCAUUGGUGACUGCAGCGCUGGAGUAUGGCAGAGGGGGGUGGAAUUCCACGUGUAGCAGUGAAAUGCGUAGAGAUGUGGAGGAACACCGAUGGCGAAGGCAGCCCCCUGGGCCAAUACUGACGCUCAUGCACGAAAGCGUGGGGAGCAAACAGGAUUAGAUACCCCCGUAGUCC
RNAcentral lists this ribosomal RNA (793 nucleotides) under uncultured bacterium. RNAcentral describes it as "bacterial SSU rRNA". It matches the Rfam family "Bacterial small subunit ribosomal RNA", at positions 8 to 796 of the family's 1533-position model. The record is from RNAcentral.